RNAcentral lists this ribosomal RNA (120 nucleotides) under Pseudogymnoascus sp. 23342-1-I1. The record is from RNAcentral. Lineage: Eukaryota; Fungi; Ascomycota; Leotiomycetes; Thelebolales; Thelebolaceae.
ACAUACGACCAUAGACCCAAGAGAAUUGGGCAUCCCGUCCGCUCUGCCAUACACAAGCUUGAGAUCGGUGGAUUAGUAGUUGGGUGGGUGACCACCAGCGAAUACCCACUGUUGUAUGUU